Molecule: ribosomal RNA, 459 nt
Filed under: uncultured bacterium
Lineage: Bacteria
Description: bacterial SSU rRNA
Rfam family: Bacterial small subunit ribosomal RNA
Source: RNAcentral
GACGAACGCUGGCGGCGUGCCUAACACAUGCAAGUCGAGCGGGGAACGGAUGGUAGCUUGCUACUGUUUGUUUCUAGCGGCGGACGGGUGAGUAACGCGUGAGCAACCUGCCUUUAUCAGGGGGAUAACGCAUCGAAAGAUGUGCUAAUACCGCGUAAGACCACAGCUUCACAUGGAGCGGGGGUCAAAGGAGCAAUCCGGAUAAAGAUGGGCUCGCGUCCGAUUAGCUAGUUGGUGAGAUAACAGCCCACCAAGGCGACGAUCGGUAGCCGACCUGAGAGGGUGAUCGGCCACAUUGGAACUGAGAGACGGUCCAGACUCCUACGGGAGGCAGCAGUGGGGAAUAUUGGGCAAUGGGCGAAAGCCUGACCCAGCAACGCCGCGUGAGGGAAGAAGGGUUUCGGCUCGUAAACCUCUGUCCUAUGGGACGAAGGAAGUGACGGUACCAUAGGAGGAAGC